GACGUAGGGGGCCAGCGUUGCUCGGAAUUACUGGGCGUAAAGGGUUCGUAGGCGGCCAACUAAGUCAUACGUGAAAUCCCUCGGCUUAACCGGGGAACUGCGUCUGAUACUGGAUGGCUUGAGUUCGGGAGAGGGAUGCGGAAUUCCAGGUGUAGCGGUGAAAUGCGUAGAUAUCUGGAGGAACAUCGGUGGCGAAGGCGGCAUCCUGGACCGAUACUGACGCUGAGGAGCGAAAGCCAGGGGAGCAAACGGG
Molecule: ribosomal RNA, 253 nt
Filed under: uncultured bacterium
Lineage: Bacteria
Description: partial 16S ribosomal RNA
Rfam family: Bacterial small subunit ribosomal RNA
Source: RNAcentral